Prunus mume (Japanese apricot) is the source of this 1276-nucleotide non-coding RNA. The record is from RefSeq and is a predicted model, not a curated record. NCBI's taxonomy places the organism in Eukaryota, Viridiplantae, Streptophyta, Magnoliopsida, Rosales, Rosaceae.
ACGGAGCUUGCAGACGCAGUCAAGUUUUGGCUGCUUCGUCCUCCUUGUUCGGCAACGAAAAAUGACCCAACCCGCCUAGGACGCCCGCCCAGCCGCCUAGAGCCCUCCUAGCCGCCUAGCGCCCGCCUAGCCGCCUAGCCGCCUAGCCGUCCGCCUAGCCCCAUUUUUUGAACACUGCGAUUGACUGGAAGUCUGAAACCCGAAAUUGAAAAAGUUUACCUGCAAAUUUGAGCUUGAGAUUGAGAUUUGAAAGCCGAAGCAAGCACAGGUCAUGGGAACCCUAAAUACAAAAUUUGCUGACUUAGGGAUUAUUUCCUGUCUUUUUAUCCAGUCCUUCCAUGCAGAGAUACAAUGCAGCGCUCAAGAACAAAUUCCUGUGAUCUUCUUGCCCAGCUUCCUUCUUCUCUGUCCUUAGACUCUGGGAUUUAUGCACAUCCAUUAAUAAACCAGCCCAUUUGUUGAACUCAUCUUCUAACAGAGAUUCAAGUGCCAUGGCAGAAAGAGAUGGGACCAGAGUUUUGGUUCCACGUGCAGUGGGUUGAUUGAGCUGUUUAUCUCCCAAGAUGUCCCUGAUGACCAACAAUUGAUUGAUAUAUCACAGCCCAAUGCAACAUUUAACUGGGGCAAGACACCCUGCUUGGUGUCGAGUGAUAUACAAGCUUUCCUGUCAAUAUAAAUGACAUGAGCACUGAAAUACAGCCACAGCCCUUUCCAGGCAAUGUGAAUGAAGGAAAUGAUCAUCUAAACAGUAAUCAUUUCCAGCAGCCGCCUGUUGUUUCCCCAGUGGAUCAUGAUUCAAAUGUGCCAUACAACAUAUCAGUUGAUUGAAUCCUUCUCUGCAGCACAUCUCCAAUGAAUGUCCUGCAACAUGUCACUUACAACUCAGAGAACAGCAUGAAGAAUGUCCUUGUUCUUGUGAGAAUUGAUAAUGCCCUUUUAUUUGAUAGAGGUCAUGUGUUGAGCUGAACACAAAUGAUCGUCAAAAAUUUAAUCUUUUCUAUAUGGUUUUGCAUGUAUAGUUGAUGUUUUGUAUGAUUCUUAAUUGUAGAUAAAGGAUGGGAUUCAUUGCUUAGUACCAACAGAUGGCAAGACCCUCGAGGUUGAUGAUUAGACCAAUGAUUUUUUUGAAUUUGUAUCUUAGUAUUUUUCUGAUGUGAAAAUAUAGUAGCCAAUAGUACUAUAGAAUGUUAUGUAAUAAUAUUUCUUCAAUUCUUAUACAAGUUGUUGUACGAGGAUCAUUGGCAAAUAUAUCAAUCAUAUUGAAGAGAUACAUAUA